RNAcentral lists this long non-coding RNA (209 nucleotides) under Panax ginseng (ginseng). RNAcentral describes it as "long non-coding RNA (PGIN_LNC015196)". The record is from RNAcentral. Lineage: Eukaryota; Viridiplantae; Streptophyta; Magnoliopsida; Apiales; Araliaceae.
AAGGAUUAAAGAGAUGAUUCCAUUAGAUUAGAACAAAACCUUAGUUUUUAUUAGAUUUGGAUAUUAAAGCAACUUGGAUACCAUUGAAGAUCAAUAGCAGGAGCAAGAGGGAGCACGAGAUUUGUUGACAACAGAUUUUAUUCUUUUCUCUACUCUUAUUUUUGUUUUUUAAUGUUUAUUCAAUUGUGGAUUCUUGGUUUUAAUUCAAU